GUCCUAGCCGUAAACGUUGGGUGCUAGGUGUGGGCGGAUAUCGACCCCGUCCGUGCCGAAGCUAACGCAUUAAGCACCCCGCCUGGGGAGUACGGCCGCAAGGCUAAAACUCAAAGGAAUUGACGGGGGCCCGCACAAGCGGCGGAGCAUGCGGCUUAAUUCGAUGCAACGCGAAGAACCUUACCUGGGCUUGACAUGCAGGGUGAAUCCCGUGAAAGCGGGUGCUCUUCGGAGCCUGCACAGGUGGUGCAUGGCUGUCGU
RNAcentral lists this ribosomal RNA (261 nucleotides) under uncultured bacterium. RNAcentral's name for it is "partial 16S ribosomal RNA". It matches the Rfam family "Bacterial small subunit ribosomal RNA", at positions 793 to 1055 of the family's 1533-position model. The record is from RNAcentral.